RNAcentral lists this ribosomal RNA (426 nucleotides) under uncultured bacterium. Its description in RNAcentral is "bacterial SSU rRNA". It matches the Rfam family "Bacterial small subunit ribosomal RNA", at positions 354 to 772 of the family's 1533-position model. The record is from RNAcentral.
GUGGGGAAUAUUGCACAAUGGGCGGAAGCCUGAUGCAGCGACGCCGCGUGUGUGAAGAAGGCCUUCGGGUUGUAAAGCACUUUCGGACGGAACGAAAUCGCGCGGAUUAAUAACCCGCGUGGAUGACGGUACCGUAAGAAGAAGCACCGGCUCACUACGUGCCAGCAGCCGCGGUAAUACGUAGGGUGCGAGCGUUAAUCGGAAUUACUGGGCGUAAAGUGUGCGCAGGCGGCUUGGCAAGUCGAGUGUGAAAUCCCCGGGCUUAACUUGGGAAUUGCGCUCGAAACUACCUGGCUUGAGUGUGGCAGAGGAAGGUGGAAUUCCACGUGUAGCGGUGAAAUGCGUAGAGAUGUGGAGGAACACCGAUGGCGAAGGCAGCCUUCUGGGCCAACACUGACGCUCAUGCACAAAAGCGUGGGGAGCAAA